RNAcentral lists this ribosomal RNA (453 nucleotides) under uncultured bacterium. RNAcentral's name for it is "bacterial SSU rRNA". It matches the Rfam family "Bacterial small subunit ribosomal RNA", at positions 8 to 507 of the family's 1533-position model. The record is from RNAcentral.
AGAGUUUGAUCCUGGCUCAGAACGAACGCUGGCGGCAUGCCUAACACAUGCAAGUCGAACGAGACCUUCGGGUCUAGUGGCGCACGGGUGCGUAACGCGUGGGAAUCUGCCCUUGGGUUCGGAAUAACAGUUAGAAAUGACUGCUAAUACCGGAUGAUGUCUUCGGACCAAAGAUUUAUCGCCCAGGGAUGAGCCCGCGUAGGAUUAGCUAGUUGGUGGGGUAAAGGCCUACCAAGGCGACGAUCCUUAGCUGGUCUGAGAGGAUGAUCAGCCACACUGGGACUGAGACACGGCCCAGACUCCUACGGGAGGCAGCAGUGGGGAAUAUUGGACAAUGGGCGAAAGCCUGAUCCAGCAAUGCCGCGUGAGUGAUGAAGGCCUUAGGGUUGUAAAGCUCUUUUACCCGGGAUGAUAAUGACAGUACCGGGAGAAUAAGCCCCGGCUAACUCCGUG